Molecule: ribosomal RNA, 447 nt
Filed under: uncultured bacterium
Lineage: Bacteria
Description: bacterial SSU rRNA
Rfam family: Bacterial small subunit ribosomal RNA
Source: RNAcentral
GGCCAGACUCCUACGGGAGGCAGCAGUGGGGGAUAUUGCACAAUGGGGGGAACCCUGAUGCAGCGACGCCGCGUGGGUGAAGAAGUAUUUCGGUAUGUAAAGCCCUAUCGGCAGGGAAGAAAUUGGACGGUACCUGACUAAGAAGCCCCGGCUAACUACGUGCCAGCAGCCGCGGUAAUACGUAGGGGGCGAGCGUUAUCCGGAUUCACUGGGUGUAAAGGGAGCGUAGACGGCCAAGCAAGCCAGGGGUGAAAGCCCGGGGCCCAACCCCGGGACUGCCCUUGGAACUGCAUGGCUGGAGUGCGGGAGGGGCAGGCGGAAUUCCUGGUGUAGCGGUGAAAUGCGUAGAUAUCAGGAGGAACACCGGCGGCGAAGGCGGCCUGCAGGACCGCGACUGACGUUGAGGCUCGAAAGCGUGGGGAGCGAACAGGAUUAGAUACCCCUGUA